UGAAACUAGCUCAAUGGUAGAGCAGCGAACUGUAAAUUCGUGUGUCACGGGUUCGACUCCCGUGUUUCAGCCA
RNAcentral lists this transfer RNA (73 nucleotides) under Gammaproteobacteria bacterium. RNAcentral describes it as "tRNA-Tyr". It matches the Rfam family "tRNA". From Rfam's summary of the family: Transfer RNA (tRNA) molecules are approximately 80 nucleotides in length. Lineage: Bacteria; Pseudomonadati; Pseudomonadota; Gammaproteobacteria. The record is from RNAcentral.